This 320-nucleotide ribosomal RNA is filed under the name uncultured eukaryote. RNAcentral's name for it is "partial 18S ribosomal RNA". It matches the Rfam family "Eukaryotic small subunit ribosomal RNA", at positions 1470 to 1796 of the family's 1831-position model. The record is from RNAcentral.
CCCUUAGAUGUUCUGGGCUGCACGCGCGCUACACUGCCACACCCAGCGAGUCUCCUGCCCUGACAGGGUUGGGUAAUCAUUGGAGUGUGUGUCGUGAUGGGGAUAGAGUAUUGCAAUUAUUGCUCUCGAACGAGGAAUUCCUAGUAAGCACAAGUCAGCAGCUUGUGCUGAUUACGUCCCUGCCCUUUGUACACACCGCCCGUCGCUCCUACCGAGGGGGUGAUCCGGUGAAUGAUUCGGACUUUGGCGUUUCUAGCUGCUAGCAGCGCUGAAGAAAGUUUUGUGAACCUUAUCACUUGGAGGAAGGAGAAGUCGUAACA